AUUGUAGGCUGAAACUCGCCUACAUGAAGCUAGAGUUACUAGUAAUCGCAGAUCAGAAUGCUGCGGUGAAUGCGUUCCCGGGUCUUGUACACACCGCCCGUCACGCCACGGAAGUUGGGGCGCCCGAAGCCACUUAGCUAACCCUUUGGGAAGCGAGUGUCGAAGGUGAAAUCAAUAACUGGGGUGAAGUCGUAACAAGGUAAC
Molecule: ribosomal RNA, 204 nt
Filed under: uncultured bacterium
Lineage: Bacteria
Description: partial 16S ribosomal RNA
Rfam family: Bacterial small subunit ribosomal RNA
Source: RNAcentral